GUUGUGAGGUUAAGCGACUAAGCGUACACGGUGGAUGCCCUGGCAGUCAGAGGCGAUGAAGGACGUGCUAAUCUGCGAUAAGCGUCGGUAAGGUGAUAUGAACCGUUAUAACCGGCGAUUUCCGAAUGGGGAAACCCAGUGUGAUUCGUCACACUAUCAUUAACUGAAUCCAUAGGUUAAUGAGGCGAACCGGGGGAACUGAAACAUCUAAGUACCCCGAGGAAAAGAAAUCAACCGAGAUUCCCCCAGUAGCGGCGAGCGAACGGGGAGCAGCCCAGAGCCUGAAUCAGUGUGUGUGUUAGUGGAAGCGUCUGGAAAGGCGUGCGAUACAGGGUGACAGCCCCGUACACAAAAAUGCACAUACUGUGAGCUCGAUGAGUAGGGCGGGACACGUGGUAUCCUGUCUGAAUAUGGGGGGACCAUCCUCCAAGGCUAAAUACUCCUGACUGACCGAUAGUGAACCAGUACCGUGAGGGAAAGGCGAAAAGAACCCCGGCGAGGGGAGUGAAAAAGAACCUGAAACCGUGUACGUACAAGCAGUGGGAGCACGCUUAGGCGUGUGACUGCGUACCUUUUGUAUAAUGGGUCAGCGACUUAUAUUCUGUAGCAAGGUUAACCGAAUAGGGGAGCCGAAGGGAAACCGAGUCUUAACUGGGCGUUAAGUUGCAGGGUAUAGACCCGAAACCCGGUGAUCUAGCCAUGGGCAGGUUGAAGGUUGGGUAACACUAACUGGAGGACCGAACCGACUAAUGUUGAAAAAUUAGCGGAUGACUUGUGGCUGGGGGUGAAAGGCCAAUCAAACCGGGAGAUAGCUGGUUCUCCCCGAAAGCUAUUUAGGUAGCGCCUCGUGAAUUCAUCUCCGGGGGUAGAGCACUGUUUCGGCAAGGGGGUCAUCCCGACUUACCAACCCGAUGCAAACUGCGAAUACCGGAGAAUGUUAUUACGGGAGACACACGGCGGGUGCUAACGUCCGUCAUGAAGAGGGAAACAACCCAGACCGCCAGCUAAGGUCCCAAAGUCAUGGUUAAGUGGGAAACGAUGUGGGAAGGCCCAGACAGCCAGGAUGUUGGCUUAGAAGCAGCCAUCAUUUAAAGAAAGCGUAAUAGCUCACUGGUCGAGUCGGCCUGCGCGGAAGAUGUAACGGGGCUAAACCAUGCACCGAAGCUGCGGCAGCGACGCUUAUGCGUUGUUGGGUAGGGGAGCGUUCUGUAAGCCUGUGAAGGUGUGCUGUGAGGUAUGCUGGAGGUAUCAGAAGUGCGAAUGCUGACAUAAGUAACGAUAAAGCGGGUGAAAAGCCCGCUCGCCGGAAGACCAAGGGUUCCUGUCCAACGUUAAUCGGGGCAGGGUGAGUCGACCCCUAAGGCGAGGCCGAAAGGCGUAGUCGAUGGGAAACAGGUUAAUAUUCCUGUACUUGGUGUUACUGCGAAGGGGGGACGGAGAAGGCUAUGUUGGCCGGGCGACGGUUGUCCCGGUUUAAGCGUGUAGGCUGGUUUUCCAGGCAAAUCCGGAAAAUCAAGGCCGAGGCGUGAUGACGAGGCACUACGGUGCUGAAGCAACAAAUGCCCUGCUUCCAGGAAAAGCCUCUAAGCAUCAGGUAACAUCAAAUCGUACCCCAAACCGACACAGGUGGUCAGGUAGAGAAUACCAAGGCGCUUGAGAGAACUCGGGUGAAGGAACUAGGCAAAAUGGUGCCGUAACUUCGGGAGAAGGCACGCUGAUACGUAGGUGAAGCGACUUGCUCGUGGAGCUGAAAUCAGUCGAAGAUACCAGCUGGCUGCAACUGUUUAUUAAAAACACAGCACUGUGCAAACACGAAAGUGGACGUAUACGGUGUGACGCCUGCCCGGUGCCGGAAGGUUAAUUGAUGGGGUUAGCGCAAGCGAAGCUCUUGAUCGAAGCCCCGGUAAACGGCGGCCGUAACUAUAACGGUCCUAAGGUAGCGAAAUUCCUUGUCGGGUAAGUUCCGACCUGCACGAAUGGCGUAAUGAUGGCCAGGCUGUCUCCACCCGAGACUCAGUGAAAUUGAACUCGCUGUGAAGAUGCAGUGUACCCGCGGCAAGACGGAAAGACCCCGUGAACCUUUACUAUAGCUUGACACUGAACAUUGAGCCUUGAUGUGUAGGAUAGGUGGGAGGCUUUGAAGUGUGGACGCCAGUCUGCAUGGAGCCGACCUUGAAAUACCACCCUUUAAUGUUUGAUGUUCUAACGUGGACCCGUGAUCCGGGUUGCGGACAGUGUCUGGUGGGUAGUUUGACUGGGGCGGUCUCCUCCUAAAGAGUAACGGAGGAGCACGAAGGUUGGCUAAUCCUGGUCGGACAUCAGGAGGUUAGUGCAAUGGCAUAAGCCAGCUUGACUGCGAGCGUGACGGCGCGAGCAGGUGCGAAAGCAGGUCAUAGUGAUCCGGUGGUUCUGAAUGGAAGGGCCAUCGCUCAACGGAUAAAAGGUACUCCGGGGAUAACAGGCUGAUACCGCCCAAGAGUUCAUAUCGACGGCGGUGUUUGGCACCUCGAUGUCGGCUCAUCACAUCCUGGGGCUGAAGUAGGUCCCAAGGGUAUGGCUGUUCGCCAUUUAAAGUGGUACGCGAGCUGGGUUUAGAACGUCGUGAGACAGUUCGGUCCCUAUCUGCCGUGGGCGCUGGAGAACUGAGGGGGGCUGCUCCUAGUACGAGAGGACCGGAGUGGACGCAUCACUGGUGUUCGGGUUGUCAUGCCAAUGGCACUGCCCGGUAGCUAAAUGCGGAAGAGAUAAGUGCUGAAAGCAUCUAAGCACGAAACUUGCCCCGAGAUGAGUUCUCCCUGACCCUUUAAGGGUCCUGAAGGAACGUUGAAGACGACGACGUUGAUAGGCCGGGUGUGUAAGCGCAGCGAUGCGUUGAGCUAACCGGUACUAAUGAACCGUGAGGCUUAACCUUACAACGCCGAAG
This 2923-nucleotide ribosomal RNA is filed under the name Shigella flexneri. Its description in RNAcentral is "partial 23S ribosomal RNA". It matches the Rfam family "Bacterial large subunit ribosomal RNA". Lineage: Bacteria; Pseudomonadati; Pseudomonadota; Gammaproteobacteria; Enterobacterales; Enterobacteriaceae. The record is from RNAcentral.